GCCUUCGUGGUGUAGCAGUCAGCACGCUGGGUGCGUAAUCCAGAACUCCGUGGUUCGAGUCCCUGCGAAAGCG
Stegodyphus mimosarum is the source of this 73-nucleotide non-coding RNA. NCBI's taxonomy places the organism in Eukaryota, Metazoa, Arthropoda, Arachnida, Araneae, Eresidae. The record is from Rfam.